UGCCGCUGUGGCGGAAUUGGCAGACGCGCUGGACUCAAAAUCCAGUUCCCUUUACCGGGAGUGUGGGUUCGACCCCCACCGGCGGCAU
Molecule: transfer RNA, 88 nt
Filed under: Pediococcus damnosus
Lineage: Bacteria; Bacillati; Bacillota; Bacilli; Lactobacillales; Lactobacillaceae
Also listed under: 6 other names
Description: tRNA-Leu
Rfam family: tRNA
About the family: Transfer RNA (tRNA) molecules are approximately 80 nucleotides in length. Their secondary structure includes four short double-helical elements and three loops (D, anti-codon, and T loops).
Source: RNAcentral